AUUGAACGCUGGCGGCAUGCCUUACACAUGCAAGUCGAACGGUAACAGAUCUUCGGAUGCUGACGAGUGGCGAACGGGUGAGUAAUACAUCGGAACGUGCCCGAUCGUGGGGGAUAACGAAGCGAAAGCUUUGCUAAUACCGCAUACGAUCUACGGAUGAAAGCAGGGGACCGCAAGGCCUUGCGCGAACGGAGCGGCCGAUGGCAGAUUAGGUAGUUGGUGGGAUAAAAGCUUACCAAGCCGACGAUCUGUAGCUGGUCUGAGAGGACGACCAGCCACACUGGGACUGAGACACGGCCCAGACUCCUACGGGAGGCAGCAGUGGGGAAUUUUGGACAAUGGGCGAAAGCCUGAUCCAGCCAUGCCGCGUGCAGGAUGACGGCCUUCGGGUUGUAAACUGCUUUUGUACGGAACGAAAAGACUCUGGUUAAUACCUGGGGUCCAUGACGGUACCAUAAGAAUAAGCACCGGCUAACUACGUGCCAGCCGCCGCCGUAA
RNAcentral lists this ribosomal RNA (498 nucleotides) under uncultured bacterium. RNAcentral's name for it is "partial 16S ribosomal RNA". It matches the Rfam family "Bacterial small subunit ribosomal RNA", at positions 30 to 523 of the family's 1533-position model. The record is from RNAcentral.